Molecule: ribosomal RNA, 495 nt
Filed under: uncultured bacterium
Lineage: Bacteria
Description: bacterial SSU rRNA
Rfam family: Bacterial small subunit ribosomal RNA
Source: RNAcentral
AUUGAACGCUGGCGGCAUGCCUUACACAUGCAAGUCGAACGGCAGCACGGGAGCUUGCUCCUGGUGGCGAGUGGCGAACGGGUGAGUAAAGCAUCGGAACGUGCCCUGAAGUGGGGGAUAACGUAGCGAAAGUUACGCUAAUACCGCAUAUUCUGUGAGCAGGAAAGCAGGGGAGUCUUCGGACCUUGUGCUUUAGGAGCGGCCGAUGUCGGAUUAGCUAGUUGGUGAGGUAAAGGCUCACCAAGGCGAUGAUCCGUAGCGGGUCUGAGAGGAUGAUCCGCCACACUGGGACUGAGACACGGCCCAGACUCCUACGGGAGGCAGCAGUGGGGAAUUUUGGACAAUGGGCGCAAAACCUGAUCCAGCCAUGCCGCGUGCGGGACGAAGGCCUUCGGGUUGUAAACCGCUUUCAGCCGGAAAGAAAUACGCCAAGGCUAAUAUCCUUGGUGGAUGACGGUACCGGAAGAAGAAGCACCGGCUAACUACGUGCCAGCA